Molecule: ribosomal RNA, 255 nt
Filed under: uncultured bacterium
Lineage: Bacteria
Description: partial 16S ribosomal RNA
Rfam family: Bacterial small subunit ribosomal RNA
Source: RNAcentral
UACGAAGGGGGCUAGCGUUGCUCGGAAUCACUGGGCGUAAAGGGUGCGUAGGCGGGUUUUUAAGUCAGGGGUGAAAUCCUGGAGCUCAACUCCAGAACUGCCUUUGAUACUGAAGAUCUUGAGUUCGGGAGAGGUGAGUGGAACUGCGAGUGUAGAGGUGAAAAUUCGUAGAUAUUCGCAAGAACACCAGUGGCGAAGGCGGCUCACUGGCCCGAUACUGACGCUGAGGCACGAAAGCGUGGGGAGCAAACAGGA